Molecule: microRNA precursor, 103 nt
Filed under: Marmota monax (woodchuck)
Lineage: Eukaryota; Metazoa; Chordata; Mammalia; Rodentia; Sciuridae
Source: RNAcentral
AUUCGGAUAGCUGGGUCAUAUGGUAGUUCCAUUCCUAGUUUUCUAAGGAAUCUUUACGCUGCUUUCCAGAGCAGAUGUACCAAUUUGCAGUCCUACCAACAAU